Molecule: unclassified non-coding RNA, 22 nt
Filed under: Mus musculus (house mouse)
Lineage: Eukaryota; Metazoa; Chordata; Mammalia; Rodentia; Muridae
Description: oocyte_clustered_small_RNA9496
Source: RNAcentral
AGCCAGGGCCAUGACGCCAGGG